UCAAUCUCUCAACCCGGUUUCAAUCCAACACCAGAAUAGCGCAGGGUCAAGGGGGUUUUAAGGGAGAUACGAGAUAAGAGAGAUACAGCGAAUUUCCAGACUGAGACCGCCUGGUUUUGGAAUAAUAAAAAAAAACGCUACCCUCCUUUUGCACUCUGUGAUGCUAGGAGAGAGAGAAUCUCAGAAUGGCUGACUAUGUGAAGCUGGAUGAGGAGAAGUUUAUCCCAAAGUCAGACAUCUUGUCUCUGCUCAGGACCUACAACUGUUAUCAUGAAGGGAAGAGCUUCCAACUCAGACACAGAGAGGUAGGAGCCCUUCAUAUACUGGCCUGG
This is a long non-coding RNA of Salvelinus sp. IW2-2015, 332 nucleotides long. RefSeq lists it as uncharacterized. NCBI's taxonomy places the organism in Eukaryota, Metazoa, Chordata, Actinopteri, Salmoniformes, Salmonidae. The record is from RefSeq and is a predicted model, not a curated record.